AACGUAGGACGCAAGCGUUAUCCGGAAUUACUGGGCGUAAAGAGCGUGUAGGCGGAUUGCUAAGUCGGGCAUGAAAGCUCCCGGCUAAACCGGGAGAGGUUGUUCGAGACUGGCGGUCUGGAGAGUGACAGAGGAGCGUGGAAUUCUGCAUGUAGUGGUGAAAUGCGUAGAUAUGCGGAGGAACACCAGUGGCGAAGGCGGCGCUCUGGGUCACAACUGACGCUGAGACGCGAAAGCAUGGGUAGCAAACGGGAUUAGAUACCCUGGUA
This 269-nucleotide ribosomal RNA is filed under the name uncultured prokaryote. Its description in RNAcentral is "partial 16S ribosomal RNA". It matches the Rfam family "Bacterial small subunit ribosomal RNA", at positions 524 to 792 of the family's 1533-position model. The record is from RNAcentral.